Molecule: non-coding RNA, 74 nt
Filed under: Synedropsis cf. recta
Lineage: Eukaryota; Bacillariophyta; Fragilariophyceae; Fragilariales; Fragilariaceae
Source: RNAcentral
GGAAAGAGUGCGGGGUUAAUGCGUUAGGAAAAUAAUUGAGUGAUUCUGGUGGCGCAUGCGACCAGCGACCACGG